GACGAACGCUGGCGGCGUGCCUAAUACAUGCAAGUAGAACGCACAGUUUAUACCGUAGCUUGCUACACCAUAAACUGUGAGUUUCGAACGGGUGAGUAACGCGUAGGUAACCUGCCUGGUAGCGGGGGAUAACUAUUGGAAACGAUAGCUAAUACCGCAUAAUAUUAAUUAUUGCAUGAUAAUUGAUUGAAAGAUGCAAUUGCAUCACUACCAGAUGGACCUGCGUUGUAUUAGCUAGUAGGUGAGGUAACGGCUCACCUAGGCGACGAUACAUAGCCGACCUGAGAGGGUGAUCGGCCACACUGGGACUGAGACACGGCCCAGACUCCUACGGGAGGCAGCAGUAGGGAAUCUUCGGCAAUGGACGAAAGUCUGACCGAGCAACGCCGCGUGAGUGAAGAAGGUUUUCGGAUCGUAAAGCUCUGUUGUAAGAGAAGAACGGGUGUGAGAGUGGAAAGUUCACACUGUGACGGUAUCUUACCAGAAAGGGACGGCUAACUACGUG
RNAcentral lists this ribosomal RNA (505 nucleotides) under uncultured bacterium. RNAcentral's name for it is "partial 16S ribosomal RNA". It matches the Rfam family "Bacterial small subunit ribosomal RNA", at positions 28 to 507 of the family's 1533-position model. The record is from RNAcentral.